CCUACGGGAGGCAGCAGUGAGGAAUAUUGGUCAAUGGACGAGAGUCUGAACCAGCCAAGUAGCUUGAAGGAUGACUGCCCUAUGGGUUGUAAACUUCUUUUAUAUGGGAAUAAAAUGUUCCACGUGUGGGAUUUUGUAUGUACCAUGUGAAUACGGAUCGGCUAACUCCGUGCCAGCAGCCGCGGUAAUACGGAGGAUCCGAGCGUUAUCCGGAUUUAUUGGGUUUAAAGGGAGCGUAGGUGGAUUGUUAAGUCAGUUGUGAAAGUUUGCGGCUCAACCGUAAAAUUGCAGUUGAAACUGGCAGUCUUGAGUACAGUAGAGGUGGGCGGAAUUCGUGGUGUAGCGGUGAAAUGCUUAGAUAUCACGAAGAACUCCGAUUGCGAAGGCAGUUCACUGGACUGCAACUGACACUGAGGCUCGAAAGUGUGGGUAUCAAACAGGAUUAGAUACCCGGGUAGUC
RNAcentral lists this ribosomal RNA (460 nucleotides) under uncultured bacterium. Its description in RNAcentral is "partial 16S ribosomal RNA". It matches the Rfam family "Bacterial small subunit ribosomal RNA", at positions 338 to 795 of the family's 1533-position model. The record is from RNAcentral.